This is a long non-coding RNA of Oncorhynchus tshawytscha (Chinook salmon), 445 nucleotides long. Lineage: Eukaryota; Metazoa; Chordata; Actinopteri; Salmoniformes; Salmonidae. The record is from Ensembl.
AGUCAGCUCUACAGCUAACAGUUACUACCCAUAGAGUCAGCUCUACAGCUAACAGUUACUACCCAUAGAGUCAGCUCUACAGCUAACAGUUACUACCCAUAGAGUCAGCUCUAAGGCUAACAGUUACUACCCAUAGAGUCAGCUCUACGGCUAACAGUUACUACCCAUAGAGUCAGCUCUACAGCUAACAGUUACUACCCAUAGAGUCAGCUCUACAGCUAACAGUUACUACCCAUAGAGUCAGCUCUACAGCUAACAGUUACUACCCAUAGAGUCAGCUCUACAGCUAACAGUUACUACCCAUAGAGUCAGCUCUAAUGCUAACAUUACUACCCAUAGAGUCAGCUCUAAGGCUAACAGUUACUACCCAUAGAGUCAGCUCUACAGCUAACAGUUACUACCCAUAGAGUCAGCUCUACAGCUAACAGUUACUACCCAUAGAGUC